GCUUCUCAGGCUGAUUAGCUUCACUUUUAUAUUUUGCUGGGCUUGUUAUACAGGAAAUGACUUCAUUACCCUCUUCUUCCUUUAGUUUGGGAAUGCUGGAGCAAAAUUUCACCAAGCUUUCUCUAUCAUUAAGUUUUACCUAUUUGGUAUAGAGCAGAAAAGCAGAGUUCUGUUCAAGCCAAUCUUGCACAACAUGAAUCUGUAAAGACAUGAUAUAAUGAUGAUCGAGACUGGAUUCCAGCUGGGUGCCGUGUGAAAGCAGGCCAGUCCGAGGUGGGAACAGGAUCACAAAAUUCAGCACAGAGAGGAAGCUUGUGGGCUCCGGCGUUGAACUGCUCAGUUUGAAAACAGUCUCUAUUUCUGAGUAGCCUUGGGUUGCUGGGUUAAAAUGUCUAUGUUCAGACUUUUCACCUGUAAAAAUUGGGUUAAUCGGCUAAAGCACGUAAAUUCCUUAGCACAGUGCCUGACACAAAUCCCUUGAUAAAUGUUAGCUGGUAUUAGAGUUAUAACAAUUCCUGCCUUUGGAACAUUCAAAUCCCUAUUUCUCAUUAAGGCAAAGUCUAAAUU
This 567-nucleotide long non-coding RNA is filed under the name Equus caballus (horse). Its description in RNAcentral is "lncRNA (ENSECAG00000048155.1)". Lineage: Eukaryota; Metazoa; Chordata; Mammalia; Perissodactyla; Equidae. The record is from RNAcentral.